RNAcentral lists this ribosomal RNA (509 nucleotides) under uncultured Bacteroidales bacterium. RNAcentral's name for it is "bacterial SSU rRNA". It matches the Rfam family "Bacterial small subunit ribosomal RNA", at positions 8 to 507 of the family's 1533-position model. The record is from RNAcentral. Lineage: Bacteria; Pseudomonadati; Bacteroidota; Bacteroidia; Bacteroidales.
AGAGUUUGAUCCUGGCUCAGGAUGAACGCUAGCGGCAGGCUUAACACAUGCAAGUCGAGGGGCAUCGGGAGGGAAGCUUGCUUUCCUUGCCGGCGACCGGCGCACGGGUGAGUAACACGUAUGCAACCUGCCCUCUUCAGGGGGACAACCUUCCGAAAGGGAGGCUAAUCCCGCGUAUAUCGGUUUCGGGCAUCCGAGAUCGAGGAAAGAUUCAUCGGAAGAGGAUGGGCAUGCGGCGCAUUAGCUUGACGGCGGGGUAACGGCCCACCGUGGCGACGAUGCGUAGGGGUUCUGAGAGGAAGGUCCCCCACACUGGUACUGAGACACGGACCAGACUCCUACGGGAGGCAGCAGUGAGGAAUAUUGGUCAAUGGGAGAGAUCCUGAACCAGCCAAGCCGCGUGAGGGAAGACGGCCCUAUGGGUUGUAAACCUCUUUUGUCGGAGAACAAAACCCGGGAUGUGUCCCGGACUGCGUGUAUCCGAAGAAAAAGCAUCGGCUAACUCCGUG